UUAUACAUGUUUGUAGGGUUUAGCUUUACUGCAGCGUACAUCCAACAGUCACAGGAAUAGGAAAACACUUGGAUGGGCGAGGUGGCAUCACGUUCAGCACUUCCACUAAAAAUCCUUGGAGAAAGGCAGGUCAAGUGAUAGGACAUGUUUCCAUUGCCACAGGUAGUUCAAGCCCCAAAUCUGUGAGUGAAACCUUCUGCUGCUCCAACAGCUGGGAUGCUGAUCUCUGAAAAAGGAACUGUUUUAACUUUUGCAACUCCACAUCAUCAAAGGCAGCACCAGUACCAAUGGAGACUUCCUCCAGCAGCAAUGAGAGGACAGCUAAAAUUAAAUGCUGGAGUAUGCUCAUCUACAGGCAUGAAAUCAGGCUCUCAUAUUAAGUGGAGCCACAUGGUAUUAUCAUGGUGGAAGUGAAUAACAACAGUGCUGUUGGAAAUCUGUAAGACUGUGUGCCAACAUCCGAAAGUACUGAGCCAUUAUUCAUUUUACAGCAAGAAAAGGCCCGUAGGUGAAAAAACAAGCUCAUGGCACAGCUGCACCUAGAAACAGCACAGCUGUCAGCUGGGAAGGAGGGAGAUUUUCAGUUUGUGAAGGAAAAGAGCAAGAUCUCAUGUGACACUUCUGAACUGCGUGAAGAGUCUGUUUUUGACCAUGGUGACUAUGGACAAGACUUGGUGGCAAAGACUGAAUAUUUUCUCAUGAUCUAAGUAUUAUUGCAACUACACCCCAGCUUCUCAUUAUCUGGAAGUCCUACACCUCAUCUGCUUCUAUGGAAACAUCUCCAUCAGGUGCUUCAUGUUCUGUGCUUUGUAAUGUACUUAAACAAGUGAGUUGGAUCUUUUCCAUUUCUUUAUGCAUGGGACACUAAAGUCUGGGAAGUAUAGGAGAAUGAUAACCAUGAACACGAAUAUUCCCAAUGAGGCAUCAUGUUUUCAUCCCCCAAUCCUACCAGAAUCCUUCCACAGCAUAUUUGAGUGGUAGAACACAUUUUGUGGCUUCAGCAUCAUCAAAGCAGUUAGUUAGCUAUUUUUACUAUUGCUUUGGGUCAAAAUAGCAUGGCAAUGGCUAAUUUUCCUUUUUUAGAGUGAACUCAGAACUUGGGUUAAAAAUGUCACAGGAUGGGAAAGGAGAGGUGACCUUUCAAGCCCCAAGUUCAGAAGGGACUUCUGGGAUUUUGUCCCAUGCUUAAUCUAUGUCUAUGCUGACAGUCCAGCGGAAAAGCACGAAGGUGAUUACACCAAUACAGCACAAUCACUGACUUGCCACUUAUUUUCAAAGCUGUGUUUAAAAGUAAAAUGCCACUUCUUAGACUUCCUCCCUUGCUACACAGCCUGCUUUAAUGUUCCAUCAAAACAAAGAAAACAACUGUUCCCACAUUAGGCAUACAUUAGCUAUAGGGAAAAAAAGGAAAAACAAAUCAUUAUUAUGUGCUUUGGAAAAGGAAAGGAGCCAGGGUGUGUGCCCAGACGACAAAUUUCUAUAAUCUCCACACCUAUAAUUUACUUCAGAAAUGUGUGGUUACCUUGAAGAAGAGAGGGAUCUUUCCAGCUUGCCAGUAUAAUGAAUGAUUCAGGUGUGAAUGGAAAUACAUGAAGGGAAAAGUAAAGAUCUAAGGAAGAUGGAGUUUCAAAACUGUAAGGCUAAACAAUGUCUCCUCAGACCUCACCCACUCAAAUUCCUGCCCCACAACUCACCAAAAGGAGACAAACUGUCUUGAUACUGGCACUCUACUGCAGUCAGGAGAAAAAGAAAAAAACAGGCAAGUACUGAAACCCACAGAACAGGUGGUAAAGGUGGCAUUUCAAGCACUAUCAGAUCAUUCUGUGAGUUGAGAAAAGAUCUUGACAGACUUCAGGUUAUUGAAAAUGGAUCCAAACAAGAGCUGAGGCUGGCCAAUUUCUCUCUCCUUAAUUACAACAGUUUCUGCUGUGCACUCACCAGAAGAAAAAAACAAAAAGGCAUUUGUAUGGGAAGUACUACCUGUACUCAUACAUCUUAUUCAUGAUCCUGAAUGCAGAAGAUGUUCAGAACACAAAGGAACAGUGGCUACUUAAUUUGCUCGUGAACAGAAUAAUUUAUGCCAACUGCGCGCACAAGGCAUACUGGCAAGGACUGUUUUCCUCAUUACUUGCCUCGGAAACAAUCUUUACAAAUCCCACCAGUAAUAGAAGAUUAAAAAUUAGUCCAAAUAGAUCACUUGAAGUGAACAAAAACAUUCUCCUUAUCAGAAAUCAGCAGUGUAUGCUGAUGUAUUUGUUUUUCAUACCAUCUUCAACAGUCAUCCAAGAACCUAGUAACAAUGAAAAGCAAACCCAUCAAGUCUGGUACAAAAACUGCCCUGCAUUAUAACACAUUUGUUUAGUGUGUCUAGGGACCCUACCUCAGCUGUUUGAAAGUUGGUUGUCCCAGGCUGUGCUGACCACCUGGUGUUUCUCCAUAAGCAGCAGCGCUGUCAGGGGCGGUUUGGGUCCCCUUUCACAGAAACAUAUUUUAGGAUUAGAAUACGGCCUAUCACAAUGGCACAAGAGGUAAUGGUUUUAAACUGAAGGAGGGGAGAUUCAGGUUAGACAUGAGGAAGAAAUUUUUUACAGUGAGGGUGGUAAAAUACUGGCCCAGGUUGCCCAGAGAGGUGGUCGAUGCCCCAUCCCUGGAGACAUUCAAGGCCAGGCUGGACAGGGCUCUGAGCAACCUGAUCUAGUGGAAGAUGUCCCUGCUCUUUGCAGAGGGCAUUGGACUAGAUGACCUUUGAAGGUCCUUUCCAACCCAAACUAUUCUAUGAUACUAACAGCUUUCCAGAAAUACGUAUUUCUCUCUGCUGAAUGAGGAGGCAGCUUGGGGUGACAAGGUCAGGCCAAGGCUGCAGUUCAACAGUACAGUAAAUACAGUCUAAGAGCUCCAGCCUAGAUUUUUAACAGCUCAACUUUUUAUCAGCAGGCCUUAUUCUAGACUUGGCAUUAUCCAUGCUCUCACGGCCAGGAGAAAGCCAGCAUAAAACAGCAUAAAUGUGAUAGCAUGUGCUCAGGCUGAUUUCAUAGGAAAGCAGAGAUGCACCCGCAUGGGAUGAGGCUCAGGUUCAGGCACUUCAUACAGAUUAGCAAUGGUGAAACACCCCUGGGGCAGCCACCAUUUUAGCUGCCGGAGGGCUGCUGACCCUCUGGGGUGCCACAUGGUGGGCCUUGGGGGAAGCAGGAUUGGUGGCCUCCCUGUCCCUCUGGACUCAGGUCACCACAGAGCUGCUCUGUGCCCGGCACCUUCCGGCGAGGGAGGUGACAGCAGGUGGAUCGCCAGGUGUAUGGGCUGGGCUGUCUUCAGUGGGAGAUGGUCACCUGGCUUGUAACAUCCUGCCUCUGCUGCCUGCCACCAACGCUGGGUUUGCUCCUUGGUUCCUGCCUUCUCCACAUAAGAGAAGGCGGGGAGGGGUUGUGAAAAAAAAAGGAGCAACAAGCUUUUUAAGAUUUUGGCCCCAUGAGCAAUUGACUCACAUCAGUCAUUCCUUUGAAAUAUGGGAGAUGUUUGUGGAGGCAGAGGAUCACAGCUCAGCUCUGUACAAGCUGAUUGUUUCCAUCAAAGAUUUAAAUGACUGCCACGUGCAAAUACAUGGAGAAAAAGGCUGAGCGUGGUGGCAGGCUCCAUCCUCCUGGGACCCCUCAAGUACCCAGUGGCACAGGGGUGCUGCAAGGCAUGGGAAGGUUCUUCAGCCAUUUGGGACUGCGAUUUAGACCGUCAAUCUGCCUGUAAGUCAGGUAUCAGAGGUCACACUUAAUAAGAAUUUUAGCUCAGGGCUUAUGCUUUAAAGCAAAUUUCACGCGUUUCUGUGGCAGCUUGGGGCCCGUCUUUCGCAGGAUGGUGCCAGGCUGGAGUUACAGACUCAGCCCGUGCCCAAGUAUUUCCUAGAGGGAAGCACUCAGAUGCUCCUGUUUGGUGUGUAGGUAGGUUUCAAACUCACUGUAAGGCACCCCUGCCUGCCUCAUGUUGGGUGCAUGGGUGUUUGGAUUGCACCUCAAGUAGCCUCUUGGCUCCAGCCUUGUGUGUCUCUCUUCCUCAUGGGUAGAUUCCUCACAGUCUGAGGCAGUGACAGUCAGGAAAACAUGAGGGACAUCAAUACUGUCCUUAGAGUAAGGCAUCUGUGGAACUGCUGUGAGAUAGCCUGGUAGUGAGCAGAGGAAAUGCCAUUUGUGCAACCAGGACUCUUGUUAACUUACUAAUACAAUGUUAUAAUGUGUUCAUUCAUUAUAAAUUAUUGCACAGCCCAGAAAUGCAGAUUUGUUCCACAUCACUGUUUGAUUCUAGGAGAAGUUAAAUGGUACUUGCACACAAUUGCUUUUUGUGUCCUUCCUAUUGACCUGAAGUAUUUGAUAUCUAUUUGAAUGCCAUGACAGAGUCUGAAUAAGACAUAUACGGAGAAUGCAGAAAAGAUAGGCUGUUUCUUUGUCCAAAAGUAGGCAGCUCUGGCUGGUAAGAGUUUGUCUCUUGUGUUUCCAAUAAAAUAAAUGAGCUUGAGAGCUAUCUGUGCUGCUAGCAAGUUGCUGAUCCUCACCUGAGCUGUCCAGAGAUGAUUAAUCUUUUAAAACAUAUUUUUAUGUUCAUGAUAUCCAAAGAAGAGUUGCUGGCUAAUUUGGGUGGAAAGUUUUGCACUGCUUUUAGGAAUGUGAAGCUAAAUCUUUUAAUCCUGGUCUGGCCUUCAUAAACUUGAAGAAGGAAGAAACACACAUGACAAGAAUAAGCAUUACACAAACCCCAUUUUAGUUUAUUCAAGUAUUUUCCAAACAUCAGUCACUCCCUCUGUAGAAAAUAUGACAGACCAGAGGCAUAGGAAUAGGAGGAGGCAGAGGAAAGAUGCAGGAGGCUUCAGAUAUAUUAUUACAUACAUAAAGACAUGUCAGUUGUAUUUUAAUACAGCAAGGAUACGACUGAUUUCAUGUGAAGGGGAAACCGGGGCUGAAAUUAAGAAAGCUGCUCUUGUUCAGGGCUCCAGCUUUGGAACUAUCCAAUUGCAUCAGGCUCAGGCUUGUUUCUGAAUGCUUUUGUACCUUUUACUGCUCAAUAAAACACUUCGGAGAUGUGAACAGCCUAUGAUGUAGAUGUAGAUACAGAUAUGCUUUCCUGAGUCAGCAGACAGCCUAAAACAGUCAUUCCAGAGCUGCAGCUCUUUCCAUCCAUCUCCAGGAGGUAUUUACUCCAAGUUUUACUGUCCUGAGGUGCUGCUCACACAACCUGUCCUGGUAACACUGGGCAGGACAGAGGAAGAAAGACAAUACAGUGACCUUCCUUCCUGAACAAGUAGAGAUUUACCUGCUGCUGGCAAGGUAAGAGGUGCUGCUGGACUAAUGUUCUUGAAAGGAAAGACAACUAUGCUGAAGCUUCUGGGGAAGGAGAAGUACCCUACACCACGCUUCCAUUUCUCAAAAAAAAAGUGGCCACCAUCACACCAUCUUGUUGGAGUCCUGUUGUGCUGGUCCAUGGAUUGCCAAACAUAGCUCUCUGGGAAAGAGAACAACAAGCAAACAUUUGCGAAACCGUCAUUGGAAAUGUAAGCUCAUCCUUGUUGUGCCACUUGUGUAAGACCUCCAGCCUGCAUCAUGUUUUGUCUCAGUGCAGGGGUCUGCCUGUCUUGGGCAAAUCACAGGGCCAGGGACUACUUAGAACAAUAACAUUGGGCAGAUUAAUGUCCCACAGUUUCUCCAGCACCUCUGUUCACAGCAUAACAAUUUCACAACAGCAUGCAUGCAAAUAAACAUCAGAGCUGAUCUGAGCUGGCUGUGCAAACCUCCAGCCAGAAACACCACACUUUGCUCGAGGGAGCCGCUUGAGCUGUCUUGCUAAUGGUAUGAAAACAAACAUAGUAUUGUGAGGCUUAAUAUUGGUAAACACUUGCAUUUACUUUGCUGAGCAUGGGUGGAUCUCGUAUGAAAAAAUGACACCUAAUGGUUACUUUCUAAUCAUAUUUCUUCACACACCACCCUCCAGUUUUACCCUCCUCACACCUGUAAAUUAAUAUUGGAACUUUGGCAUGCUGUGAUUUCUUUUACUCCACCUUCUCUGACUUCUUAGCGCAGAAACCAUUUGUUGCAGGCACUGUAUGUGUACAAACUUUAUGCUCUUCAGAAGUACCUUUGUGACAACAGUACAUAUUCUGGCUUCUGAGGAAGUUUGUGGUCCCAGUGGACUGAGGCAAUGUAUGAAAAAUGCAAGGACUCUUCAUGGAAGGGUGGCAUGAGCAGCAUGCCAGUGCUUAAAGCUACAGUCCCUGGAGCUGGGAGUUGAAGGAAGAAAGGAGAAAGCUUAUCAGUGUGAUCUCAUGGUCUGUGGAGGGGUGAUACACAGAUCCAAAGGUUGUACACACACGUGGCUGAGCUCUAAAGCUAUGCCAGCAUUUGAGGAGCUUCCUGAGCUGUAAAAGCUCUCUUGUAUGGAGCUCCACACCCACAGCAUUUGUAUCUCAAGCCCUUGGGGGAGAUGGGGGCCAGGCACAAAUAGAAAUCCAGGAAUGCUGCUAUUAAGAUGUUCAUCUGCAACUUUUGAGAUUCACAGUGGUUAUAAGCUUGUGGUUUUCAUAACAAGCAAAGGUAGAUAGUAGCAUGGAUUUCUUAGGAUAAUUGGUCUUUGCAUUAAGAGGAAGAUUCACUGCUGUCAACUUACGAUGUUUGCAGUUGUAGUUCUCCACAGACAAUGAAGUGGAAAUAGAUGCUUCUAGGGCAUGGUUAAUCUUGUCUUCACAUAGAUAUCUAAAAUAGGUCAGAUGAAUCAUGUCCUCUGAGCAUUUCUUUCCACUGACUACAAAGGGAGCCUGUCAUCUAUAUUACAAAUGUGUAGAGUGUGGUGUAGGGAGUUCUUCAGAAAGAUAUUCACUACAAAUGUGUGUGCAGAAGCAGCCUUUAAGUUUAUACUUCAAUAUUUUAUGCAUAGAAAAGAUGGGAAGUGUAAAUAUGUCCUCAGGGUUGAACAAUAUGUAUUAAUACAUUUCAGUUGCACUCUCUGGGAGAACAAGCAUCUAGAAAAUCAGCAGGAAAGAGCUAAGGCAAAAAUUUUAGUGCUACUAUACAGUUCAUAGUGACUCUCAAUACAUACGUUUAAUGCCAAUUAAACUUAUUUAUUUAAAUACUUAUUUAUUACAAACAAUGCUGGUGAAGUUUAGGAUUGGUAUUCUUGGCAAAGUAAUUCCAGUUUUCCCUCACAUGUUGUCAAGGAGGUUGCACACAGAGAAGCUGCACACAUGGAAGGUGAGUAGUGUGGAGCUCCCUUUGUCCAUGGCCGUGGGGAUCUUUCAGCUGCCUGUAGGAUCAUGACAGGCCCACUGCACGUGUUUCCAUAUCCUUAGGCCAAUGUCCUUGCAGAAAGCUACUACGCUUCCCAGAUGAGUGGCAGAGGAGUGCGUUAUGACUUGGUUGUGUCCCUCCCUGGGACUGUAGGUGUCAAUGACAGGAGAACCAACAACAGCAGCAUCCCCUCUGCUGCCACAGUCAGCCCCUGCCUCUCUGCCCAGGGCUCCCGCAGCCUCACACCAGGGUUGCCCAUCCCUCAUCUCCCUUACAGCCCAGAAACACCUGUCCCAGGCCAACCAUGCCACCAACCCCAAUGUGACACUCUGUGGCAUUCUACCCACUGGCUGGUGCCAGUAGCUCAUGUGAGACUCAGCCCUUGGCUACUCGCAGAAAAAGGUGGGGAGCUCCCUUUGCCCAGAGCCAUGAGGAGCUUCCAGCAAAAAAUGAUGGCGCACAGGUUGGAGCUAUUUUAUCUGUCCUGUAGGGCGCUGACAAUUCUCCAGCUGAGUGGCAGAGGAGGUAGAGCACAGGAGCAUGCCAUGACCUGGUAAUGUCCAGCUGAAAUACAAAGGAGAAGCAACAAAGGAGGAGCAGCCACCUUCCAUCACCAUGGGCAGCCCCUGCCUCCCUGCCCUGACCUCCUGACCCUCGCUCACCCAGUUCUCUGUAUACCCAUCCAGGGCUGGCUGUGUCACCAACCCCGACAUUCUACCUGCUGUGAAAUGGCUACAAGAUCACCAGGGCUAAUGUCAGGAGCUGGUGACUGCCUGUUGUGACCUGACCAUAACAUCAGCAGGGCUGGUGCAUCACUGUGACAUAGCUAAUUCACCAUUCCAGUGAGAAGAAACAAAUGAACCAACAAAACCUCAUCAAGUGAUAAAGCUGGGGAGGAAAAUUAAACAGCAAUGUAAAGAACAGUAGCUUAGUAGAGGUUAAAAGAGAGUUAAAGCACCAGGUCCUACCCACUGUGUAAUUUUAAAGAUUUGUGUGGUACUUGCUGGUGAUACUUGUGGAUUUGAAAGCUAAAUUCUGGAAGAAAAAAAGCUUGUAAAAUUGACUGAAGGUAGGAAAUAAAGGCAUGUCCAGUGCACUCAGGAUUGGCUGACAGUGCUGAGGAGCAGCAGAGAACUGCAAGACUCACAUCUGUCUUUCCCUGAAAGAGAAGUGGACCUUCUUUGCUUACUUGGAGAGAGGUAGCUGGAGGCCAUCCUCCCUGAAGAAAGGCAACCAGAUGUUUCAUGAAAGGAAGGAAACUUAAAACUAUGAAUCCCCGGGGGAGAUACCAUGUUAACCCUCUUGUUUUUGUCAGGUUCUUCACUAGUUCCUCCUCAUUUGGGCUACCACCUCCCAGUCCCUCCUGUCCACCGCCAAUGCCUCUGAGUGGUAUGACCACAUUUUUCUGCUAUGAAAAUCCCAGAGCCUGGCUCCCAAGGGAUCUUGCUAUUGAAAAUGCAGUAUUAGUCCUCUUGGGCUUGGGUUUCUUGUUGUUUGUGAACUGCUCAUUAAGUAAUCAAAUAACAGCAUAGUAAAUAAAUAACGUCUUGCCUCAGAAAGGCUCAAAUACGCAAGAAGUAAGUAAAACUUGAUUCAUUUUACAAACACAUAAUAACUAAAAAGUAAGACAAAACACACAGUGACUAACCCGUUGGGUGAAAAUACUUCACUGGAAUUUAGAGCAGUUUGCUGCCUGUUAUGUACAAAAUGGCUGCAAAGGAGCUAUUAAAGUCUCUCAAAUAAAUACAGUGCUUUGUGUGUUUGUUUGUUUCUAGUUAGAGGUAUAGAGUCAUUCAAAAGCCCAUGUGCUGUAGAAGCUCUGCAGCGUUUGCUUUGUAGUACAGAUAGUGCCUAACCGCUACUUUCCUCUCUCUUGAUCACUAACGAAAACAGACCAUAUAGAGAUGAAAGUGUUCUAAAUCAGUGCUCUGUGUCAUUUCCCACUUACUUUGCACUUUUCUGACAGCUGAAAAGCUGCAAUAAAUUGAGUGCAUGCACACCCACAGAGAAUGACAGUACUACCAUAACCUAGCCUCUCAGGACAUGUAUUUUCUUCCCCAAGGGACUAUAUUGAAAAAUUAUCAAAGUGGAGGGGUUUUUUUGGUGUUUUCUGCUGUGGUUUUAACAUUAAAUUUUCUUUAUGAGUUGAUUUUUCCUACUACUUUUCAAAAAAUCAGAACAACGUUUUAAAUUAAAUAAUUAAAAAUAAAUCUGAUGCUAUAGCUAAAUAGCAGUUUUAUACUAACACAUAUAUGAACAAAAAAUCAGGCAUGUAAUAACAAUAGAUUUUUUUUUCUUUUGGUCCCGUUCCUCUCUCUCAUUUCUUUCUUAUUGCUCCUUUCUUUCCUUCUUUCUUUCCUUCUUUCUUUCUUUCUCUCUUUCUCUCUUUCUCUCUUUCUCUCUUUCUUUCUCUCUUUCUCUCUCUCUCUACUUCUCCUUCCUUGUCUCCUUCCUUCCUCCUUCCCUUCCUCCACACUUUCCCUCUUUCCCUCUUUCUCCUGUUAUUUCUGCCUUUCUUUCUUUUCCCCAUUUCUAAUUUUGUUUUGUAGGUAGUUGGAGAUCUGGUUUAUUUUAAAACAAUGAAGAACGCAGAAUCCCCUGAGGUAAAUUCAUUGAGUACUGGGAGGUCUUGGUAACACAAUUGAACUGGCACCAAAUCAAUAAAAACAGAACAGAAGAAAAAACAAUAAUUAAAACAUUCUGUCAAAAAAAUGGAGCAGUAAUUAAAAGAUGCAAACUAUUGUUUUGCUACACUAAUUACAUUUUAAUUUUCAAUAGCUUGCUGAAUAGUAUAAAAGCCUAUGCCUAUAAAAUGUCCCAGUGACAGUACUCUUUCUGCAACUAGCGUGAUAACAGUGUUUAUGUGCUGUAACAGAGUGGUAUGUGCUUUCAACUCUGUGUGGGUGAAACUAGCUUCCUUGUAAGAUAGCAUGACAACAAAAUUGUUGUUUGUUUUGUUUUUUUUUUUCUUCUCGUGUGGAAAAUUAUUACUCAACACACACACACACAUACACACACACAUGCACGCACAUAUACAUGCACCAAAAAAAGUGGGCUCAGUCCAAGAGACGCUCCGCUCAGGGCACUUCUGUUGACCUCAAUGGGAAUUUUGUGUGUGGCGCAAUAGCGGGUUGUUGGCCAGCAUGAAUACCCUACUUAGGUUUAGACCAUGUUGUUUUCUUCACGUGUUAUUGAAGGAUGAAGAGAAAAACAAACUGAAUUUUCCUAUUAAUAUACACCAUUUGCAACCCUAAACAUGCAACUUUUUCGGCAGGGUCCUAAUGACUUUUCUCACAAAACAAUCCUUAUAGGCUUCACUGGUCGAUACCCAUACAUAAAAGCAACAUAAUAAACCCCAUAUUCUGUACCGUUAUGAUUCAUGAUUGUCCUGAAAAAAAUUACGUGAUUCAUUUAGCUGCUUUUGAGAAGAGUUUGGGUGGCAAAUUUCCAUAGGCAGAUUUUAGAAACACUCCAAACCAAGGGUACAUGGAAAGGAGUUUGUUGUUACUGUUGUUUGCAGCAGCUCAACACAAAGCCAAAUUAUCCAGAUGAGUCCUGGCAAAAUCUGGACCCAUUAGCUACAAUCUGUGUCUCCAAAGCUAUAGUUUGAACACUCUGCCUUUCAUAUAAUCUCAUGUGAAUGACAGAGUUCUCCCAGAAAUGGGCAUCCCAUGUGUUCAAACAUGCCCCAAAAACAAUAGAUCCCUUCCAUCAAAGUGGGAGCAGUGGGGAAAUAAUUUCUCAGAAACUAAUCCCUGGAUUUCAGAUGCAUGAAAUCAACGAAAUGCCUCAAUCUAUGAAAAUGGUCAGCAUUGCCAAACAAUGUUUCACAACUGCAUAGCUUUUCUACAUUUGCAAUCUAAUUUGAAAUUAAUUUUAAAAAUAAUAAAUUAGAAAAAAAAAAAAAAGACUGCGCCAAAUGAUGGAACAAAAUCAACAUCCUUCAUACCACUGCAGCAAGAAGCACAAACAAAGAGGGUAAUAUUUUUAAAGAGAAAACUGAGCAAACAUUACCUCUCUUUUUGCCACUUUACGGUCCGCUUCGUAUCUUCCUAAAUUCACCUCUCAGUUACAUGUGCUCCUUUCCAUUCAGCUGCAAAGGGUUAACAAGCUAUAAAUCUGGACAACAUCAGUCUACUAUCUGGAAAUACAUAAAAAGUAAAUUUAAAAGGGAAGCCAGGAUAACAAUAUCACCAAAAUCAGGCUCACUUACACUGUAUACAACUUCUGUAUGUUUUUCUAAGGAGUGAUAAAGUGAUACUGAUCACACUGGCAGUAUUGGUACCUUUCAGAGAUGGAAGACAGCCUGGAGGUUAGGAAGGCUAACUACUAUAAAUAGCACUGCUUACAUCCAGUGUAAAACAGAAAUUACAUAUUUUCACACACCAAAGUUGCAAAACCAAAACAGAUAUAAAACCCAGAGCAAAAUCUGGAAAAAAAAAAAAAAAUCCUUUAGUUUAGAAAACUAGACCCUUAUCUUCUGGGAAUAGCCAAAAUUAAAGGAGGUUUCGUGCUGAUGCAAGAAUAAAUUGCUUCAAGAAUUAUUUCACAGACACAUAGUAUUCCCCAAAUCCCUAUUAUUAUGAUGCUAGUGAAAUGUCCCGAUUUACUGAAAUUAAACAAAGACAGAUAUUUAUUUAGAAUUCCUGUAAUUGCUACAACCAGUAAAUGUGUUUCAUCACCAUGAUUGCAAAAACAAAUACCUACCAGAGAAAUGCAGCUCACAGCAACACAGAACUGAACGGAAAUAGAAAUUUUGUUAAUGUUACGCUAAUGCUCGCAGCAGAAGUAUUUGAUUGAAGGGAAAAUAAAUCAAAAGAGCUAACUGUGGCUGAGCCAUGGAUCAGUCUCAGGGAGCAGUGAGCUGGGCAGCCCCUGUGCAGCGGUGUUACCACCAGACCAACUGCCAGGGCACAGGGCGAUGCUGGCCAGCUCAGGAGGGCAAGGUGGGCUUGGUCUGGGGCACUAAUGGUGACUGUGGGCCUGGUGCUACAGCAAGGGAGAAGGCAAGGACGUCCUUACAGCCCUUGCUUGUCUGCAAGAGCCUUGGGAUGCCAGAGCCAUGCUGCCUCCUGUGCACUGUCUGCAUGGAGGCACCAGCAUAUCCCGCCACUAUUCUGCCUCUCUCACCCCACCAGCCUCUGAAAAUCUCUCACCAGCCUCACUUGCAGAGCAACUUUGCAGACUCCAACUAUCACAGAUACGGCUUUGUUUUUUAGUGUACAAUAGACACCUUCUCUAAGGAAGAAUGUUGCGGCAGCACCGAAGUCAUAAUUCUCUCACCGCUCCUACAUAUGGGGGUUGCCCCAGGACUAGAGGAAAUGCAGGAGAUUUCCUCACAGCAGAAAGGGCAUAUGUGGCCAACUUGAUAUGGACAAGAGUGGAAAUCACCCUGUGGUUGGUACUUGUGGUACAGUCACAAAAUGCUCACACUGCCAGUAGCACCGUUUGUUCUGGAUAGAUCAUUGGAUCUAUCCUUUCAUGGAUCCCUGGAUACUCAUUUCACUGCCUUAGAAGGAAGAAGCAAAAGCAACAUCAAGGUACAGGUGUUUGUGUCUUCAUAUUUCUCCUACACUUGAUUCUUUGGAGCAUACAACGGCUGUGGUUUCACAGCUUGGCAGAACAGGCGUAUCACCAUUAUAAUCCGGCAAGCACCCUAAAGGCAGGGACAGGUUGUUCUGUGAUUGAAACCUGGCCCCAACCAAAUGAACUUCUCUACAUUGGCAAUGAAUCUCUGUGUCUGAUAUUGUUCUCUCAGCUCGGAUGGGAAUGCCAUUGGCAGCAGGAGAGGACAGAGACCUGCUGGUGGGCCAAGGUAGAGUUGCUUUCAGGUUAUAUGAGAAUCAGCUGCUCCAGUUGUGUGGUCAGAAGUCUAUAUGUGUUAGAAUUAAAUUUCUUUUCGAUCCUCUGUCUGAGUGACUUUUCAAGUUGGGGAUGAUGAUGUGAGAUAACCACAAACAGCUAAUCACAGUAUUUUGCAGUAUAUUUCCUCCUGCUGCUGUUCUUUCAAUUAAAGGAGAUGAUCAAGGCAAGACGAACGAAACUCAGACUUUACUACAAUUUGGAAGCUUAGUACUAGCACCCCUCUGC
Molecule: long non-coding RNA, 13346 nt
Organism: Columba livia (rock pigeon)
Lineage: Eukaryota; Metazoa; Chordata; Aves; Columbiformes; Columbidae
Exons: 6
Source: RefSeq, a predicted model, not a curated record